UGAUAUCGCCUCUGAUAUUUUGCUGUAAAA
This 30-nucleotide non-coding RNA is filed under the name Rattus norvegicus (Norway rat). The record is from RNAcentral. Lineage: Eukaryota; Metazoa; Chordata; Mammalia; Rodentia; Muridae.